Non-coding RNA from Mycena crocata, 94 nucleotides. The record is from the annotation of a GenBank genome assembly. NCBI's taxonomy places the organism in Eukaryota, Fungi, Basidiomycota, Agaricomycetes, Agaricales, Mycenaceae.
GGCCUGGUGGUGUACUGGUAACACGUCUUUGCCUCCUAAACCAGGAGUGUUGAAAUCAAAGAAGAAAUUCCCUGUUCGAUUCGGGGCCAGGCCA